Podarcis raffonei (Aeolian wall lizard) is the source of this 1692-nucleotide long non-coding RNA. RefSeq lists it as uncharacterized. NCBI's taxonomy places the organism in Eukaryota, Metazoa, Chordata, Lepidosauria, Squamata, Lacertidae. The record is from RefSeq and is a predicted model, not a curated record. The transcript is spliced from 3 exons.
GAGGAACAAGUUUAACAACAAGCCCAUCAUCUUUGACUAAGCUGGUUACAGUUGGUGGGAGUUGAGUUCAACCAUAUCUGGAGGGCCACAGAUUCCCCACUAUUAAAGUAAAUGACACAUGUCAGGUGGGUCUUCUUGCUAGUGACAUCAAUUAUGGCAGUUAGAAUCAGUUAGCUUCCUGACUCUACUAUACACCAGUGAUGUUUUAAAGAUAAUUUAGUAGUACAAAGAAAUUCUAAGCAAUUUAGGUUAUUUGGGUUAUUUGAGAGAACAUUUGUUUCCAUGUCAACCUGCUGUUCUGUUCCAUGGAGAUGCCCACCACUACAGAUGGGUGAUGGCCAAAGCAGCAAGGAGGUCAACAGUCCUAAGGAUCCAGGCAGUCAGGGUGGUGAGGCAAAGCAGGAUCAGCACUUUGGAGAGAGACCAAGAAACAAAACAUUAAUUGAGAAAAGGCAUAUAGGAUUUGUUGACCCCUGCACAAACUACCUGCAAUAUUUCUUGGAACACAUCAUACGAAAAUUGUCUGAUGCAAAUUAAGAAUGCUGCUGAGUUUUGUAAUUCCUUGGUUCAGAAUACAGACUUGGUAACUAAUGCAAUGAAAAGAUACUAAGCCUCCAAGUGGACUCCAAUACAAGAAUUAUUUCUCCCACCUUGUAGCUGCUUUGCAGCAACUCCUGCGAUAAUGUGUGCAAGGAAAGAGGAAAGACUCUUCUGCGUACGCCAAGUACCCUGGAAAAGCUACAUUUCCUGGACCUUCUGGUGCCAGGAAUGUUUUCUUACAGGAUUCUAGGUGCCAGGAAGGAGGAAAGAGGGAGACAUACACACAUGAACACCUCCCUCCUGUAUGAACAACCAUCACCAGUUAAAGAUAAUAUAGGGGCUCAUCAACUAUAAAACCAAUUUACAAGUCUCAAUGAAAAUGAGAACUUCUUCCUAAGCAUUCUCUGCUUUUAGUUGUAAUUACUCGUGUCAAUCUCAACUGAUCCUGGGGCAGUUCACCUGUCACUAUUGCAUAUAUAUCCUUGGUUAACCUAAGUAGUAUCAAGGUCCUGUUCAUACAGGCAUGCCAUCAAAUGGUGAUGAAUUUACAUCCACAUGUGAAGGAGCCUUUAGAAAGAAAGCUCAGUGAGCAGCAAUUCAUUGUGUUGAUUAAGCCAACACAAGGUUUCCCUUUAAGCUACUAUGGUAUAAUUACAACGAGGGCAAAAUGUGGGGGCCACAGAGGUUAUGGGAGUUACAGACAUAACACAUACAAGUUCCAUUUUAACAGAAUUUCACUGGUUGCCAGUUUCCUGUGCCCGUUGAAGAUCCUUACACUGAUGCUUAGAGCUCUGGUACCAACCUCCCCCAUGCCUUAAGGUCUGUGGAGAAGCCCAACUAAGGAUCCUUGAGUAGGAUGAAAAGUAUAGAUGCCCUUUUUAGUGGUGGUUCUAGUUCUAUGGAAUGUUCUCCCUACUGCGGUGUACCUAGCCACAUCAUUGUUUUGUUUUGUUUUGGCACCAGGUGAAGAUUCAUGUCUUCCAGCAGGCUGCUGGAAGAAGGAAACUGUGACUGAGUAAUUUAUGGAUAGUUUGAUGCUGCUGCUUUUAUUAUGAGCUGUACUAAAAUGUUUUUGUUUUGUUUUUUAAGUUCUUGUGUUCUGCCCUUUGCUGUUUAUUAUGUUGUAAUCCAACUUUGUGGUCUUUUGGUGAA